RNAcentral lists this ribosomal RNA (890 nucleotides) under Akanthomyces tuberculatus. Its description in RNAcentral is "SSU rRNA". It matches the Rfam family "Eukaryotic small subunit ribosomal RNA", at positions 252 to 1148 of the family's 1831-position model. The record is from RNAcentral. Lineage: Eukaryota; Fungi; Ascomycota; Sordariomycetes; Hypocreales; Cordycipitaceae.
CAUGAUAACUUCUCGAAUCGCACGGCCUUGCGCCGGCGAUGGUUCAUUCAAAUUUCUUCCCUAUCAACUUUCGAUGUUUGGGUAUUGGCCAAACAUGGUUGCAACGGGUAACGGAGGGUUAGGGCUCGACCCCGGAGAAGGAGCCUGAGAAACGGCUACUACAUCCAAGGAAGGCAGCAGGCGCGCAAAUUACCCAAUCCCGACACGGGGAGGUAGUGACAAUAAAUACUGAUACAGGGCUCUUUUGGGUCUUGUAAUUGGAAUGAGUACAAUUUAAAUCCCUUAACGAGGAACAAUUGGAGGGCAAGUCUGGUGCCAGCAGCCGCGGUAAUUCCAGCUCCAAUAGCGUAUAUUAAAGUUGUUGUGGUUAAAAAGCUCGUAGUUGAACCUUGGGCCUGGCUGGCCGGUCCGCCUCACCGCGUGUACUGGUCCGGCCGGGCCUUUCCCUCUGUGGAACCCCAUGCCCUUCACUGGGUGUGGCGGGGAAACAGGACUUUUACUUUGAAAAAAUUAGAGUGCUCCAGGCAGGCCUAUGCUCGAAUACAUUAGCAUGGAAUAAUGAAAUAGGACGUGUGGUUCUAUUUUGUUGGUUUCUAGGACCGCCGUAAUGAUUAAUAGGGACAGUCGGGGGCAUCAGUAUUCAAUUGUCAGAGGUGAAAUUCUUGGAUUUAUUGAAGACUAACUACUGCGAAAGCAUUUGCCAAGGAUGUUUUCAUUAAUCAGGAACGAAAGUUAGGGGAUCGAAGACGAUCAGAUACCGUCGUAGUCUUAACCAUAAACUAUGCCGACUAGGGAUCGGACGAUGUUAUUUUUUGACGCGUUCGGCACCUUACGAGAAAUCAAAGUGCUUGGGCUCCAGGGGGAGUAUGGUCGCAAGGCUGAAACUUAAA